AGGCAUGAGAACAGCCCUCACAGCUCAGAGAGGGACAUGAGAACAGCCUCACAGCUCAGAGAGGCAUGAGAACAGGCUCACAGCUCUGAGAGAGCAUGAGAACAGGCUCACAGACUCAGAGAGAGGCAUGAGAACAGCCUCACAGCUCAGAGAGGGACAUGAGAACAGCCUCACAGCUCAGAGAGGCAUGAGAACCAGGCUCACCAGCUCUGAGAGAGGCAUGAGAACAGCCUCACAGCUCUGAGAGGGACAUGAGAACAGCCCUCACAGCUCUGAGAGAGGCAUGAGAACAGCCUCACAGCUCAGAGAGGCAUGAGAACAGCCUCACAGCCUCUGAGAGAGGCAUGAGUAACAGCCUCACAGCUCAGAGAGGACAUGAGAACAGGCCUCACAGCUCAGCAGAGGCAUGAGAACAGCCUCACAGCUCUGAGAGAGGCAUGAGAACAGCCUCACAAGCUCUGAGAGAGGCAUGAGAACAGCCUCACAGCUCAGAGAGGGACAUGAGAACAGGCCUCACAGCUCAGAGAGGCAUGAGAACAGGCCUCACAGCUCAGAGAGGACACUGAGAACAGCCUCACAGCUCAGAGAGGGACAUGAGAACAGCCCUCACAGCUCAGAGAGGCAUGAGAACAGCCUCACAGCUCAGAGAGGGACAUGAGAACAGCCUCACAGCUCAGAGAGCGACAUGAGAACAGCCUCACAGCUCUGAGAGAGGCAUGAGAACAGCCCUCACAGCUCAGAGAGGGACAUGAGAACAGCCUCACAGCUCUGAGAGGGAAUGAGAACAGCCUCACAGCUCUGCUCAGAGAGGCAUGAGAACAGCCUCACAGCUCUGCUCACAGAAGUGAGGACUACACUGACAUCCUAGCCAGCACCUUCAGAUUCACUCAAACAUUCUCUGGGGAGGUGAUUGUGGGUAAAAUGGACUGUAUUUUAAACAUUUGACCUUAAUGCCACACACACACACACACACACACACACAGACACACACACACACACACACACACACACACACACACACACACACACA
Long non-coding RNA from Gadus morhua (Atlantic cod), 1030 nucleotides. RefSeq lists it as uncharacterized. NCBI's taxonomy places the organism in Eukaryota, Metazoa, Chordata, Actinopteri, Gadiformes, Gadidae. The transcript has 2 exons. The record is from RefSeq and is a predicted model, not a curated record.